CUGAAAGUCUCUGCCUAAUCACUCCGCCUGGAAGGUGGAGGCACAUCAAAAUAACAGAGUGUGAACUAGUUUUGUAAUUAACUGGGCUCAGCUGAGAAGAUUUUUAAAGAAUGGAAAUCAAGCCAUUUAGGACUGCCCCCGGUGCAGUGGUUCCGUGUUCCAGAGCACAGACGCCGUUUGGACUGGGGGCACGGGAGGGGCAUUCUCUCUAAGAUAAGGCGGAGCUUGCCGGACGGGCUGCCACGAUCCCAUUCUCCCGUCAUCCCCUGUAAAAUGACUGUCUUGCCAUGUCCAAUAUGUGCUUGUUUGCAGAGAAGCAUUUUCCUCGCCAGCUCCCGAGUGUCAUGGUGUCCUCCUGGCGUGCGGAGAGGAAGUGUGAGCCCUGAACUGGCAGCUGCUUCAGAACAGGGAGGCAGUCCAGAUAUUCACGUUGUCAAACUGAAAUCCUGGAGCAGAGUUUCUACAACUAAAAGGCCGAGAGCUCACUCCGGAUACGGGCAGGCUGCGGGGGUCCUGCCGGCAGGUGGACACGCGUGUGUGAAGGGAGGCGGCCGGUCGUGCUUCUCACCUUGGCAGCCAGGAAGGAAUUCUAAGUCAUCACUUGUGCAGUGGCCACGGAUGCCCAGGAGGAGGAUCCCAGUGGAAUGGAGGUGGGCUGCGUGCAGCCUCGGGUGGGAGAUAGUGUUACAUGUGUGCAGAAAUCGGCCACCGUCUCCUUUUCGCCCUGCCCAGAAGCUGCCUGUUAAGCACAGGUUUCAGAAGCUGGAGGGAGGGAGCUGACCAUGCCGACGCCCGUCUGGGCCUCCUAGGACCUGGCAGUUCUCCCUGCAACUCUGUCCUGCCCACAGCCCAGGCCCUUCUUAGAUGCUCCUUUGCAUCCCAUUCUGUUUCCUGCCAUGGGAGACGCGUCUCCUACCCAGGGUCAGUUUUCAGAGUGCUCAGCCUUAAAUUCAGGGGGAGAUGCAAAUUAGGGUGAGGCAAGGGGCCCGUUCAAUCUUGUCUCCCGCUGAAGGCUCCAUGCCAGCCCCUCAGCUCAGGCAGCUCCUAUCCCUGACUUCCCGACAGACAGAAUCCAUCCCCCUCUGCUCAUCACCAAGAGCUUAAUUCUCAUGCGGCUGCAAUCAGCUAAACUGACACCUCCCUUGUCCCCAGAGCUGCCACCUCCGCACCCUGCUGGGAAAGCCCGCCUGGGUGUGUGCCAGAUGAGACAAGGGCGUAGCAAAGUGCCCACACAAGCAACCCCCAACAAGACACCCCGACAGUGAAGAGAACACAGGCUGCUCUGCUCACCUGUCCCCUGGAAGGAUGUGUCCACGUCUCCUUUAAAAUGUCCCCAUGUCAUGAGCACGCUCUGCAGCUCUGCGAGUUUAGGCAGCCCAGCCCCCCAUCACCCUGAGGUCAGGCGGGGGCCGGAGUCAUAGCCUGCGUUGGAGGGCUCCCUCUCUCAGGCCACCUCCCAGAUCCAGGGGAAGGCACAGAUAUGAGUCUGCUGUUUUCUUUCUUUCCCUCCCUCCCUUCCUUCCUUCCUUCCUUCCUUCCUUCCCUCCUUCCUUCCUUCCUUCCUUCCUUCCUUCCUUCCUUCUUUCCUUCUUUCCUUCC
Molecule: long non-coding RNA, 1599 nt
Organism: Rhinopithecus bieti (black snub-nosed monkey)
Lineage: Eukaryota; Metazoa; Chordata; Mammalia; Primates; Cercopithecidae
Source: Ensembl